GUCUACGGCCAUACUACCCUGAACGCGCCCAAUCUCAUCUGAUCUCGGAAGCUAAGCAGGGUUGGGCCUAGUUAGUACUUGGAUGGGAGCAUACAGGAGGGCAAAUCAUGUAACAC
This is a ribosomal RNA of Felis catus (domestic cat), 116 nucleotides long. The record is from Rfam. Lineage: Eukaryota; Metazoa; Chordata; Mammalia; Carnivora; Felidae.